Molecule: long non-coding RNA, 1165 nt
Filed under: Mytilus galloprovincialis (Mediterranean mussel)
Lineage: Eukaryota; Metazoa; Mollusca; Bivalvia; Mytilida; Mytilidae
Source: RNAcentral
AAACAACUUGCAAAUAUAAUGCAUAAUAUUACGAGAGUGGAUCAAAUAUGUUACAUAAUUAUGUGAAUUUUGAAAUGCAAGUCGUGGUACUUCUCAUUUGUUUUUGGAAAGGUCUGUAUAUAUUUUUUUAUCUUUUAAAGAGAUAAAUUUGAUGUUUAUGUUAAAUGGUCUGUUCAUAUGAUGAAAUCAUAAUCUUUCAGUCAGUUUAGUUGAAGUCUGGAGCUGGCAUGUCAGUUAACUGCUAGUAGUCUGUUGUUAUUUAUGUAUUAUUGUCAUUUUGUUUAUUUCUUUGGUUACAUCUUCUGACAUCAGACUCGAUUUCUCUUGAACUGAAUUUAAUGUGCGUAUUGUUAUGCGUUUACUUUACUACAUUGGUUUAAGGUAUAGGGGAGGGUUGAAUCUCACAAACAUUUAACCCCGCCGCAUUUUUGCGCCUCCCCAAGUCAGAGCCUCUGGCCUUUGUUAGUCUGUAUUAUUUUUAAUUUUUAGUUUCUUGUGUACAAUUUGGAAAUAGUAUGGCGUUCAUUAUCACUGACUAGUAUAUAUUUGUUUAGGGGCCAGCUGAAGACGCCUCCGUGCGGGAAUUUCCUCGCUACAUUGAAGACCUGUUGGUGACCCUCUGCUGUUGUUUUUUAUUUGGGCGGGUUGUUGUCUCUUUGACACAUUCCCCAUUUCCAUUCUCAAUUUUAUUCCUUUCUACACUUUACGUGUUUGUUUUGGGUUUUUUUUUCGUAUUUUUUUUCUGUAGUACAUUUUAUUAGAAUUGUACGUGAACAUAUUUUUCUUCUAAUUUCUAGAUAACAUGGAUGAAAAUUAUCUUUUAAUAGUGUAUGUUUUCUUUGAUUAGGGGCAGUAAUAUUGGCUUUUGAUGACUACUGCAACCUUACGCAUGAAACAAAAAAUGAAAUGACAGCUAUAAUUGGAUCGACGCAAGUUUUAAAAUGUCCCGUUGGCAAACAUGUUAGUCAUGCUUGGGAGAAAUUCAAUGGCACAAUUGCAGAAGGUACCAAAAUAAACCCAGAUUAUCAAAAUCUAAACAAGUUUUCUAUUGAUACCAGUCAAAAAGAAUACAAUUUGAUGAUAUCUAAUAUAUCAACUGCUGAUAGCGGACAGUACUGUUGUGACCAGAUAGAUUUCCGGUGUUGUGUACUGUUACACGUACAAG